GAUGAACGCUAGCGGCAGGCCUAACACAUGCAAGUCGAGGGAGAAGCCGUUUCGGGGGCAGAAACCGGCGCACGGGUGCGUAACGCGUAUGCAACCUACCUUUCACAGGGGGAUAGCCCGAAGAAAUUUGGAUUAAUACCCCAUAAUAUUAUUGGAUGGCAUCAUUUGAUAAUUAAAACUGCGGUGGUGAAAGAUGGGCAUGCGUCCUAUUAGCUAGUUGGAGUGGUAACGGCACCCCAAGGCUACGAUAGGUAGGGGUCCUGAGAGGGAGAUCCCCCACACUGGUACUGAGGCCGGGACCAGACUCCUACGGGAGGCAGCAGUGAGGUAUAUUGAUCAAUGGUCGGAAGACUGAACCAGCCAUGCCGCGUGCAGGAAGAAUGCCUUAUGGGUUGUAAGCUGCUUUUAUAUGGGAAGAAUAAGGCGUACGUGUACGUUGAUGACGGUACCAUAUGAAUAAGCAUCGGCUAACUCCGUG
RNAcentral lists this ribosomal RNA (478 nucleotides) under uncultured bacterium. RNAcentral's name for it is "partial 16S ribosomal RNA". It matches the Rfam family "Bacterial small subunit ribosomal RNA", at positions 28 to 507 of the family's 1533-position model. The record is from RNAcentral.